Molecule: ribosomal RNA, 654 nt
Filed under: uncultured Corynebacterium sp.
Lineage: Bacteria; Bacillati; Actinomycetota; Actinomycetes; Mycobacteriales; Corynebacteriaceae
Description: bacterial SSU rRNA
Rfam family: Bacterial small subunit ribosomal RNA
Source: RNAcentral
CAGAUUCCUACGGGAGGCAGCAGUGGGGAAUAUUGCACAAUGGGCGCAAGCCUGAUGCAGCGACGCCGCGUGGGGGAUGACGGCCUUCGGGUUGUAAACUCCUUUCGCUAGGGACGAAGCUUUUGUGACGGUACCUAGAUAAGAAGCACCGGCUAACUACGUGCCAGCAGCCGCGGUAAUACGUAGGGUGCGAGCGUUGUCCGGAAUUACUGGGCGUAAAGGGCUCGUAGGUGGUUUGUCGCGUCGUCUGUGAAAUUCCGGGGCUUAACUCCGGGCGUGCAGGCGAUACGGGCAUAACUUGAGUACUGUAGGGGUAACUGGAAUUCCUGGUGUAGCGGUGAAAUGCGCAGAUAUCAGGAGGAACACCGAUGGCGAAGGCAGGUUACUGGGCAGUUACUGACGCUGAGGAGCGAAAGCAUGGGUAGCGAACAGGAUUAGAUACCCUGGUAGUCCAUGCCGUAAACGGUGGGCGCUAGGUGUGAGGGUCUUUUCAUGACUUUCGUGCCGUAGCUAACGCAUUAAGCGCCCCGCCUGGGGAGUACGGCCGCAAGGCUAAAACUCAAAGGAAUUGACGGGGGCCCGCACAAGCGGCGGAGCAUGUGGAUUAAUUCGAUGCAACGCGAAGAACCUUACCUGGGCUUGACAUACACCGGA